This 381-nucleotide ribosomal RNA is filed under the name uncultured archaeon. RNAcentral describes it as "bacterial SSU rRNA". It matches the Rfam family "Archaeal small subunit ribosomal RNA", at positions 345 to 727 of the family's 1478-position model. The record is from RNAcentral.
AACCUUUCCAAUGCACGAAAGUGUGAGAAGGGAAUCCCAAGUGCUCAUGCAUUGCAUGGGCUUUUGCCAAGUGUAAGGAGCUUGGCGAAUAAGUGGUGGGCAAGACCGGUGCCAGCAGCCGCGGUAACACCGGCGCCACAAGUGGCAACCGUGUUUAUUGGGCCUAAAGCGUUCGUAGCUGGUCUGUUAAAUUUCUUGUGAAAUCGUGGUGCUUAACAUUACGGCGUGCAGGAAAGACUGGCAGACUUGGGACCGGGAGGAGUCAGGGGUAUGCUUAGGGGAGCGGUAAAAUGUUAUAAUCCUAAGUGGACCACCUGUGGCGAAGGCGCCUGACCAGAACGGAUCCGACAGUGAGGAACGAAAGCUAGGGGAGCAAAACGG